RNA transcript from Phragmites australis (common reed), 2170 nucleotides. It is a transcript of the gene named protein NRT1/ PTR FAMILY 8.1-like, with no coding region annotated. The record is from RefSeq and is a predicted model, not a curated record. The transcript is spliced from 6 exons. NCBI's taxonomy places the organism in Eukaryota, Viridiplantae, Streptophyta, Magnoliopsida, Poales, Poaceae.
AUACAUAGCCCCAGCCACCAGUCUUUUCCACAGAGCUACACGGCAAAAAUAUCAAGAACGUAGGGUGAAGCUGCAAAGCAAGAGCAGCAUAUCGAUCAGUCCGAGGCAAAGAAUCAUCUUUGCUUGCACCUGUGUUCGACUCAAGAAAUUUUGCACCUGCAGUGUAACUUUCCAGGAUCUUCUGAACUGCUGGAACCAUGGAGGCCGUCGAAUCAAGCGGCCCGCAGGUCAGCACCGAUCGCCGGGCAUCCAAGAAGGAUCGCCGGAUUUUCUGGGCCUGCGUUUUCAUCCUCGUGAACAACUGCUUCCAGUACACCGCCUUCUUCGGCGUGUCGACGAACCUGGUGAACUACCUCAAGGACCGGCUGCACGAGGGCAGCAAGGCCGCCGCGAACGGCGUCACCAACUGGCAGGGCACGAGCUCCAUCACGCCGCUGGUCGCCGCCUUCCUCGCCGACGCCUUCCUCGGCAGAUACUGGACCAUCGCGCUCUUCAUGCUCAUCUCCGUCGUGGCCUUCGUGGUGUUGACGGUGAGCGCGGCCGUGGCGCUGCAGAGCGCGGCGUUCUACGCGGGGCUGUACCUUCUGGCGAUCGGGGGCGCUCUGCAGCCGGUGCUGUCGUCGUUCGGGGCGGACCAGUUCGACGAGACCGACGAGGAAGAGCGCGGCCAGCAGAGCUCCUUCUUCAACUGGUUCUACCUCUCCAUCAACGUGGGCUCGCUCGUCGGCGGCACCGUGCUGGUGUGGGUGCAGUCCAGCGUCAGCUGGGGGCUCGGGUACGGCAUCCCGGCGCUGUUCAGCGUGCUGGCCGUCGCGGGGUUCCUGGCCGGCACCGCCGCGUACCGGCGGCACCAGCCACCGGGCGGAAGCCCGCUCACCAGGGUCGCGCAGGUGAUCGUCGCGGCGGUCAGGAAGUACCGCGUCGAGGCGCCGGCCGACGCGUCGACUCUGCACGAACGCGAGGCCGACGACGGCAUGUCCGCGAUACAGGGGAGCCGCCGGCUCGCGCACACCGAUCAGUUUAGGUUCCUGGACAAGGCGGCGGUGGAAACUGCGGGCGACAAGGCGCGGCCGAGCCCGUGGCGGCUGUGCACGGUGACGCAGGUGGAGGAGCUCAAGUGCGUGCUCCGGCUGCUGCCGGUGUGGGCGAGCGGCAUCAUCUUCGCGGCGGCGUACACGCAGAUGACCACCACCUUCAUCAUCCAGGGCGACACACUGGACCCCUACGUCGGCGGCUUCCGCGUCCCCGCCGCCGUGCUCUCCGUCUUCGACACCCUCAGCAUCAUGCUCUGGGUGCCGCUCUACGACCGCCUCAUCGUCCCGCUCGCGCGCCGCGCCACGGGACACGAGCGCGGGUUCACGCAGCUGGCGCGCAUGGGCGUGGGCCUCGUCGUGCUCACCGUCGCCAUGCUCGCGGCCGGCACGCUCGAGGUCGCGCGGCGGCGGGUCAUCGCGCGGCACGGCAUGUAUGACUCCAACACGGGCGUGGACGGGAGCUACCUGCCGCUGUCCAUCUUCUGGCAGGUGCCGCAGUACGCGGUGGUGGGCGCGUCGGAGGUGUUCACGUUCAUCGGGCAGAUGGAGUUCUUCUACGACCAGGCGCCUGACGCGAUGCGGAGCCUCUGCUCGGGGCUGUCCAUGACGUCGUUCGCGCUGGGCAACUACGUGAGCUCGGCGCUCGUGACCGUGGUGGCGCGCGCGACGGCGCGGGGCGGGCGGGACGGGUGGAUCCCCGACGACAUCAACCGCGGACACCUUGACGACUUCUUCUGGCUGCUCGCCAUGCUCUGCAUCGGCAACUUCGGCGUCUACCUGCUCAUCGCGCGGUGGUACACCUACAAGAAGACCGUAGAUUGAAGGUCACCUAGGGUGCAAUGGUCUGCCUAGGCUAGGCUCAAUCGCUCCGUGGGCCGCGCAGGCUACAUCGGGUUAGGCGUCGGUGCUCAUGGGCUGAGGCAUCGUGGGCAGCGGCUGGCGUUUUGGAGCAAGGGGGCUGACGUCAGCUAAUAUAGGAAAAAUGUUCAAAGAUCAGGCUAUGGGAGGUGGAUGGUUACCUUGCUUUUCAUCAGGGAUGGAAUAUUUUUGUUUCAUACCAUUUGAUCAAGUGGGGUGAGUUUCUGUUGUUCGAGUACACUGCCAAUUCAAUAUUUUCUGUGCGGGUUCUUAGUAAA